Long non-coding RNA from Salvelinus fontinalis (brook trout), 9839 nucleotides. RefSeq lists it as uncharacterized. NCBI's taxonomy places the organism in Eukaryota, Metazoa, Chordata, Actinopteri, Salmoniformes, Salmonidae. The record is from RefSeq and is a predicted model, not a curated record. The transcript is spliced from 5 exons.
UGAGGUUGGUGUGUGUGUGAUGCUGUGAGGUUGGUGUGUGUGAUGCUGUGAGGUUGGUGUGUGUGAUGCGGUGAGGUUGGUGUGUGUGUGAUGCGGUGAGGUUGGUGUGUGUGAUGCGGUGAGGUUGUUGUGUGUGAUGCUGUGAGGUUGGUGUGUGUGAUGCUGUGAGGUUGGUGUGUGUGAUGCUGUGAGGUUGGUGUGUGUGAUGCUGUGAGGUUGUAGUGUGUGAUGCUGUGAGGUUGGUGUGUGUGAUGCUGUGAGGUUGGUGUGUGUGAUGCUGUGAGGUUGGUGUGUGUGAUGCUGUGAGGUUGGUGUGUGUGAUGCUGUGAGGUUGGUGUGUGUGUGUGAUGCUGUGAGGUUGGUGUGUGUGUGAUGCUGUGAGGUUGGUGUGUGUGUGAUGCUGUGAGGUUGGUGUGUGUGAUGCUGUGAGGUUGAUGUGUGUGAUGCUGUGAGGUUGUUGUGUGUGAUGCUGUGAGGUUGUAGUGUGCGAUGCUGUGAGGUUGGUGUGUGUGUGAUGCUGUGAGGUUGGUGUGUGUGUGAUGCUGUGAGGUUGGUGUGUGUGUGAUGCUGUGAGGUUGGUGUGUGUGAUGCUGUGAGGUUGAUGUGUGUGAUGCUGUGAGGUUGUUGUGUGUGAUGCUGUGAGGUUGUUGUGUGUGAUGCUGUGAGGUUGGUGUGUGUGUGAUGAUGUGAGGUUGGUGUGUGUGUGAUGCUGUGAGGUUGGUGUGUGUGAUGCUGUGAGGUUGUAGUGUGUGUGAUGCUGUGAGGUUGUUGUGUGUGAUGCUGUAAGGUUGUUGUGUGUGAUGCUGUGAGGUUGUAGUGUGUGUGAUGCUGUGAGGUUGUUGUGUGUGAUGCUGUAAGGUUGUUGUGUGUGAUGCUGUGAGGUUGUUGUGUGUGAUGCUGUGAGGUUGUUGUGUGUGAUGCUGUGAGGUUGGUGUGUGUGUGAUGCGGUGAGGUUGGUGUGUGUGUGAUGCGGUGAGGUUGGUGUGUGUGUAAUGCGGCGAGGUUGUUGUGUGUGAUGCUGUGAGGUUGGUGUGUGUGUGAUGCUGUGAGGUUGUUGUGUGUGAUGCUGUGAGGUUGUUGUGUGUGAUGCUGUGAGGUUGUUGUGUGUGAUGCUGUGAGGUUGGUGUGUGUGAUGCUGUGAGGUUGGUGUGUGUGAUGCUGUGAGGUUGGUGUGUGUGAUGCUGUGAGGUUGGUGUGUGUGAUGCUGUGAGGUUGGUGUGUGUGAUGCUGUGAGGUUGGUGUGUGUGAUGCUGUGAGGUUGGUGUGUGUGAUGCUGUGAGGUUGUAGUGUGUGAUGCUGUGAGGUUGUAGUGUGUGAUGCUGUGAGGUUGUUGUGUGAUGCUGUGAGGUUGGUGUGUGUGAUGCUGUGAGGUUGGUGUGUGUGAUGCUGUGAGGUUGGUGUGUGUGAUGCUUUGAGGUUGGUGUGUGUGAUGCUGUGAGGUUGGUGUGUGUGAUGCUGUGAGGUUGGUGUGUGUGUGUGAUGCUGUGAGGUUGGUGUGUGUGUGAUGCUGUGAGGUUGUUGUGCGUGUGAUGCCGUGAGGUUGUUGUGUGCGAUGCCGUGAGGUUGUUGUGUGCGAUGCUGUGAGGUUGUAGUGUGCGAUGCUGUGAGGUUGGUGUGUGUGUGAUGCUUUGAGGUUAGUGUGUGUGAUGCUGUGAGGUUGGUGUGUGUGUGAUGCUGUGAGGUUGGUGUGUGUGAUGCUGUGAGGUUGGUGUGUGUGAUGCGCUGAGGUUGGUGUGUGCGAUGCUGUGAGGUUGGUGUGUGCGAUGCUGUGAGGUUGGUGUGUGCGAUGCUGUGAGGUUGGUGUGUGUGUUUGAUGCUGUGAGGUUGGUGUGACUGAUGCUGUGAGGUUGGUGUGUGUGAUGCUGUGAGGUUGGUGUGUGUGAUGCUGUGAGGUUGGUGUGUGUGAUGCUGUGAGGUUGGUGUGUGUGAUGCUGUGAGGUUGAUGUGUGUGAUGCUGUGAGGUUGGUGUGUGUGAUGCUGUGAGGUUGGUGUGUGUGAUGCUGUGAGGUUGGUGUGUGUGAUGCUGUGAGGUUGUGGUGUGUGUGAUGCUGUGAGGUUGUUGUGUGUGUGAUGCUGUGAGGUUGGUGUCUGUGAUGCUGUGAGUUUGGUGUCUGUGAUGCUGUGAGGUUGUUGUGUGUGUGAUGCUGUGAGGUUGGUGUGUGUGUGAUGCUGUGAGGUUGUGGUGUGUGUGAUGCUGUGAGGUUGUGGUGUGUGUGAUGCUGUGAGGUUGUGGUGUGUGUGAUGCUGUGAGGUUGUGGUGUGUGUGAAUCUGUGAAGUUGUGGUGUGUGUGAAUCUGUGAAGUUGGUGUGUGUGAUGCUGUGAGGUUGGUGUGUGUGAUGCUGUGAGGUUGGUGUGUGUGAUGCUGUGAGGUUGGUGUGUGUGUGAUGCUGUGAGGUUGUUGUGUGUGGGAUGCUGUGAGGUUGGUGUGUGUGAUGCUGUGAGGUUGUUGUGUGUGAUGCUGUGAGGUUGGUGUGUGUGAUGCUGUGAGGUUGGUGUGUGUGAUGCUGUGAGGUUGUGGUGUGUGUGAUGCUGUGAGGUUGUGGUGUGUGUGAUGCUGUGAGGUUGUGUGUGUGAUGCUGUGAGGUUGUUGUGUGUGUGAUGCUGUGAGGUUGGUGUGUGUGAUGCUGUGAGGUUGGUGUGUGUGAUGCUGUGAGGUUGGUGUGUUUGAUGCUGUGAGGUUGGUAUGUGUGAUGCUGUGAGGUUGGUGUGUGUGAUACUGUGAGGUUGUAGUGUGUGUGAUGCUGUGAGGUUGUAGUGUGUGUGAUGCUGUGAGGUUGUUGUGUGUGUGAUGCUGUGAGGUUGUUGUGUGUGUGAUGCUGUGAGGUUGUUGUGUGUGUGAUGCUGUGAGGUUGUUGUAUGUGUGAUGCUGUGAGGUUGUAGUGUGUGUGAUGCUGUGAGGUUGUAGUGUGUGUGAUGCUGUGAGGUUGUUGUGUGUGUGAUGCUGUGAGGUUGUUGUGUGUGUGAUGCUGUGAGGUUGUUGUGUGUGUGAUGCUGUGAGGUUGUUGUGUGUGAUGCUGUGAGGUUGGUGUGUGUGAUGCUGUGAGGUUGGUGUGUGUGUGAUGCUGUGAGGUUGGUGUGUGUGUGAUGCUGUGAGGUUGGUGUGUGUGUGAUGCUGUGAGGUUGGUGUGUGUGUGAUGCUGUGAGGUUGGUGUGUGUGAUGCUGUGAGGUUGGUGUGUGUGAUGCGGUGAGGUUGGUGUGUGUGUGAUGCGGUGAGGUUGGUGUGUGUGAUGCGGUGAGGUUGUUGUGUGUGAUGCUGUGAGGUUGGUGUGUGUGAUGCUGUGAGGUUGGUGUGUGUGAUGCUGUGAGGUUGGUGUGUGUGAUGCUGUGAGGUUGUAGUGUGUGAUGCUGUGAGGUUGGUGUGUGUGAUGCUGUGAGGUUGGUGUGUGUGAUGCUGUGAGGUUGGUGUGUGUGAUGCUGUGAGGUUGGUGUGUGUGAUGCUGUGAGGUUGGUGUGUGUGUGUGAUGCUGUGAGGUUAGUGUGUGUGUGAUGCUGUGAGGUUGGUGUGUGUGUGAUGCUGUGAGGUUGGUGUGUGUGAUGCUGUGAGGUUGAUGUGUGUGAUGCUGUGAGGUUGUUGUGUGUGAUGCUGUGAGGUUGUUGUGUGUGAUGCUGUGAGGUUGGUGUGUGUGUGAUGAUGUGAGGUUGGUGUGUGUGUGAUGCUGUGAGGUUGUUGUGUGUGAUGCUGUGAGGUUGUUGUGUGUGAUGCUGUGAGGUUGUUGUGUGUGAUGCUGUGAGGUUGGUGUGUGUGAUGCUGUGAGGUUGGUGUGUGUGAUGCUGUGAGGUUGGUGUGUGUGAUGCUGUGAGGUUGUAGUGUGUGAUGCUGUGAGGUUGUAGUGUGUGAUGCUGUGAGGUUGUUGUGUGAUGCUGUGAGGUUGGUGUGUGUGAUGCUGUGAGGUUGGUGUGUGUGAUGCUGUGAGGUUGUUGUGUGUGAUGCUGUGAGGUUGGUGUGUGUGUGUGAUGCUGUGAGGUUGGUGUGUGAUGCUGUGAGGUUGUUGUGCGUGUGAUGCUGUGAGGUUGUUGUGUGCGAUGCUGUGAGGUUGUUGUGUGCGAUGCUGUGAGGUUGUAGUGUGCGAUGCUGUGAGGUUGGUGUGUGUGUGAUGCUGUGAGGUUAGUGUGUGUGAUGCUGUGAGGUUGGUGUGUGUGAUGCUGUGAGGUUGGUGUGUGUGAUGCUGUGAGGUUGGUGUGUGUGAUGCUGUGAGGUUGGUGUGUGUGAUGCGGUGAGGUUGGUGUGUGUGAUGCGGUGAGGUUGGUGUGUGUGAUGCUGUGAGGUUGGUGUGUGCGAUGCUGUGAGGUUGUUGUGUGCGAUGCUGUGAGGUUGUUGUGUGCGAUGCUGUGAGGUUGGUGUGUGUGUGAUGCUGUGAGGUUGGUGUGACUGAUGCUGUGAGGUUGGUGUGACUGAUGCUGUGAGGUUGGUGUGUGUGAUGCUGUGAGGUUGGUGUGUGUGUGUGAUGCUGUGAGGUUGGUGUGUGUGUGUGAUGCUGUGAGGUUGGUGUGUGUGUGUGAUGCUGUGAGGUUGGUGUGUGUGUGUGAUGCUGUGAGGUUGGUGUGUGUGUGUGAUGCUGUGAGGUUGUUGUGUGUGAUGCUGUGAGGUUGUUGUGCGUGAUGCUGUGAGGUUGGUGUGCGUGAUGCUGUGAGGUUGGUGUGCGUGAUGCUGUGAGGUUGGUGUGCGUGAUGCUGUGAGGUUGGUGUGCGUGUGAUGCUGUGAGGUUGGUGUGCGUGUGAUGCUGUGAGGUUGGUGUGCGUGUGAUGCUGUGAGGUUGGUGUGCGUGUUGCUGUGAGGUUGGUGUGCGUGUUGCUGUGAGGUUGGUGUGCGUGAUGCUGUGAGGUUGGUGUGUGUGAUGCUGUGAGGUUGUUGUGUGUGAUGCUGUGAGGUUGGUGUGUGUGAUGCUGUGAGGUUGGUGUGUGUGUGAUGCUGUGAGGUUGGUGUGCGUGUGAUGCUGUGAGGUUGGUGUGCGUGAUGCUGUGAGGUUGGUGUGCGCGAUGCUGUGAGGUUGGUGUGCGCGAUGCUGUGAGGUUGUUGUGUGCGAUGCUGUGAGGUUGGUGUGUGCGAUGCUGUGAGGUUGGUGUGUGCGAUGCUGUGAGGUUGGUGUGUGCGAUGCUGUGAGGUUGGUGUGUGUGUGAUGCUGUGAGGUUGGUGUGUGUGUGAUACUGUGAGGUUGGUGUGUGUGUGAUACUGUGAGGUUGUAGUGUGCGAUGCUGUGAGGUUGGUGUGUGUGUGAUGCUGUGAGGUUGGUGUGUGUGUGAUGCUGUGAGGUUGGUGUGUGUGAUGCUGUGAGGUUGGUGUGUGUGAUGCUGUGAGGUUGGUGUGUGUGAUGCUGUGAGGUUGGUGUGUGUGAUGCUGUGAGGUUGUAGUGUGUGUGAUGCUGUGAGGUUGUGGUGUGUGAUGCUGUGAGGUUGUUAUGUGUGUGAUGCUGUGAGGUUGUUGUGUGUGAUGCUGCGAGGUUGGUGUGUGUGAUGCUGCGAGGUUGGUGUGUGUGAUGCUGCGAGGUUGGUGUGUGUGAUGCUGCGAGGUUGUGUGUGUGAUGCUGUGAGGUUGUGUGUGUGAUGUUGUGAGGUUGUUGUGUGUGUGAUGCGGUGAGGUUGUGUGUGUGAUGCUGUGAGGUUGUUGUGUGAUGCUAUGAGGUUGGUGUGUGUGAUGCUUUGAGGUUGGUGUGUGUGUGAUGCUGUGCGGUUGGUGUGUGUGAUGCUGUGAGGUUGGUGUUUGUGAUGCUGUGAGGUUGGUGUGUUUGAUGCUGUGAGGUUGGUGUGUGUGUGUGAUGCUGUGAGGUUGUUGUGUGUGAUGCUGUGAGGUUGGUGUGUGUGAUGCUGUGAGGUUGUUGUGUGUGUGAUGCUGUGAGGUUGGUGUGUGUGUGAUGCUGUGAGGUUGGUGUGUGUGUGUGUGAUGCUGUGAGGUUGGUGUGUGUGUGUGAUGCUGUGAGGUUGGUGUUGUGCGAUGCUGUGAGGUUGGUGUGUGUGUGUGAUGCUGUGAGGUUGGUGUGUGUGAUGCUGUGAGGUUGUGUGUGUGUGACGCUGUGAGGUUGGUGCGUGUGAUGCUGUGAGGUUGGUGCGUGUGAUGCUGUGAGGUUGGUGCGUGUGAUGCUGUGAGGUUGGUGUGUGUGAUGCUGUGAGGUUGGUGUGUGUGAUGCUGUGAGGUUGUUGUGUGUGUGAUGCUGUGAGGUUGGUGUGUGUGUGUGAUGCUGUUGUGUGUGUGAUGCUGUGAGGUUGGUGUGUGUGAUGCUGUGAGGUUGUGUGUGUGUGAUGCUGUGAGGUUGGUGUUGUGCGAUGCUAUCCUGCGAUACUUGUCCUCAGGAUUGUAUCCUAUGUCGCUCUGAAAAAAAAGUGUCUGCUUCAUGACUGAAAUGUAAAAGUCAAAUGUAUUGACUGAUUCCAUUAACUUGUUGAAACAGGCCCCUGGGUUGACAGCAUCAGCUAUGGGGGGAAAAGGAAAGUAAAACUGAAAUGUUUUUUCCUGGCCACACGAACAUGUAUAUUGUUAUGACGAAUGACUCACUGACAAGUAAGACAGAAAGCAUUGAAAAGGGUUGUAAAAUGAUGCUUGUCUGUCCAACAGGAAUGAGUGUGCUCGCUGGAUCACUGCUCUGGGUCAGAGUAGCAAUGACGAGAAGAACCAAGACCGGACCAAUGCCAUGCAGGUGGUGGUGACGAGGACGUACACAGCCAAGCAGCCUGAUGAGCUGUCACUGCAGGUGGCUGACGUGGUCCUGGUGUCACAGACUGUGGAGGAUGGCUGGUAUGAGGGCGAGCGACUCCGUGAUGGCGAGAGGGGUUGGUUCCUGUCAGAAUGUGCUGAACCAAUCACGUGCCAGGCCACUAUUGAGCGCAACAUGCAGAGGAUGGACCGCCUCCAAGGGCUGGAAACCAAUGUGUGAUCUGGAACGGCAGGCUCCACCCACUAAUUACACAAGUGACCUGCCUGUUCUCAGACAGACCAAUGAGUGAACCUUAUGCCGAAGACGGCCUUUGACGUUGAGCGGACCGUCACUGAAUACACCCAUUUGAAAGUCUUUGGUCAACAGAGCGACGUGUGAGGUCUUUCCACCAGCGACUGAAUACACCAAUGAGCUGCCUUCAAGCACUAUCAACCAAUGAGAGAGCUGACUUGACACUAAAUUCACCAAUAGAAUCUCUCCGUGGGUCAACAGACAAAUGUAUGUGUGAGCCUUGUCUGCUGACUGUGUCUAUUAGAAUGGGGGUUUUGAUUGUUACCCAUGUAACGUUCUCCGCCUUCUACCGGUCUAUAUCGUAAGGACAUUUGACCUUUUGACCUGUCAACAACAUUCUGAUUCCUCCCACUGAUGGGAGACUGCCCGCGUAACUGUUUAUUUUGGGCCCCUGAAGGACAUCCCCCUUGGACACACACAUGACAUACUGGGGUCAAAAUUUAAAACUGCCACAUACAGAGUGGACACCUAUAGUAGAACGGCACGUUCAAACUGAUAUGGACACGGAUUCAUUUGAUUAACUAUUUCCUUCUGGAAAAACUCCCCAGAAGUUUCCGGGAAUUAAACGUACCCUCUCUACUACAUAGUAACUAACAAUUUAAAGGAACAAAACAACUAUGGUGAUGAUCUAUAUAUAUAUAUAUAUUUGUUUUAAUUGUCAUGCUUUUUAAAAUGCCUGGUUGUCCUGGUGUGAUGAUGAAUUGGCUGAGUGUAUGGAGCCAACAUGUGUCCAGUGUCCAGGUCAGUUUCACCUCUGCUCUGUGGUCAGGCCUUAGUGUGUGACGAGACUGAUGGGGAAGAGGCUCAGAUACACAAAUGGCACAGUAUUUUCCAACGUAUCUGUGUGUGCAGCUGGGAGGCCAUUUGUAAUGUAACUGAAUGUGACAAAUGUUCCAAAAUGGCCCAAUAACCCGUCCCUGUGUGGUUAGUAGGAGGCUGUGUGACUGCUGAAGAGGCUGAAUGUACAGUAAGGAGCCAAAAGGGUGGACUGAACGGUCCAGUUUCCAGACUUCCCUCUGGUUAGAAGGUUACAGUAUAGCGAGGCUGAAUGUUAUGAUGGUCUACAAAGGCAAAAAGAAACUCCCACCAUCAUGCCUGCUCCCGAUUCACAAGCCCUGCUCCCGAUUCACAAGCCCUGCUCCCGAUUCACAAGCCCUGCUCCCGAUUCACAAGCCCCUGCUCCCGAUUCACAAGCCCCUGCUCCCGAUUCACAAGCCCCUGCUCCCGAUUCACAAGCCCCUGCUCCCGAUUCACAAGCCCCUGCUCCCGAUUCACAAGCCCCUGCUCCCGAUUCACAAGCCCUGCUCCCGAUUCACAAGCCCCUGCUCCCGAUUCACAAGCCCUGCUCCCGAUUCACAAGCCCUGCUCCCGAUUCACAAGCCCCUGCUCCCGAUUCACAAGCCCCUGCUCCCGAUUCACAAGCCCCUGCUCCCGAUUCACAAGCCCCUGCUCCCGAUUCACAAGCCCCUGCUCCCGAUUCACAAGCCCCUGCUCCCGAUUCACAAGCCCCUGCUCCCGAUUCACAAGCCCUGCUCCCGAUUCCCAAGCCCUGCUCCCGAUUCCCAAGCACCUGCUCCCGAUUCCCAAGCACCUGCUCCCGAUUCCCAAGCCCCGCUCCCGAUUCCCAACAGUAACCAUUUUAGAUGCCUAAAACUAUUAGACAGGUAUUAGCAAUAUGGGUGUACCUCCACCUUGGUCUCAGCUUUGUUCAACUGACCCAUAUAGUCCUACGCAGUCCUUUCAGAGGGACACAAUGCAUAGGGGCUGGAAGUUGAUCUGUAAUUGGGCACUUUGUCUCUAGCUUAAUGUCACUUUACAUAAAUAGAACCAUUUCCGUCCCACAGACCUCCGUCAGUCUGCCACUCGGUGUGAUUAUGCCCAGUGAUGUCAGAGAUGGACGUUUUAAAAAUACUCUCCUUAUGAUUUCGGUGACGUGCGGCAGGAGAGAAAAUGAAAUGGUGUGACGCUCUCUGUUCUAAAACUGGAAAAGCCAGCUGUGAUUGUAACUCGAUUGUCCAGCAGGAUCUCUUUAAGUGUGUAAUGUUGUGUGUAACAUUGUCUCACGUCGCUGAAGGAAACAAGUCAUGUCCUGGUCAGCUUCCUGUUGAACUACCGUUCAUCAAACCGGACCACUACUCUCCAUGUGGUUUGACCCAGACAAAAAGCUUUGCACUCAGGGAAAACUGAUACCACAUGAAUUUAACCAAUGUUAAUCAUUCAUGUAAAUAUGUAACUAAUAGCAACCUCUGUUUAAACAUGCAUGUAAUCCACGGCUAUAGAUUUAUAUUGUAGAUGAUGAAGCCUUUGGAUAUUUAAUCCACUUUUUUUAAGUUUCUUUUGUGUUUUUAUACCCCGUUUUCUCCGCAAUUUCGUGGUUUCCAAUUGGCUCAUCGCUGCACCUUCCGUAUGGACUCGGGAGAAGGGAAGGUCAAGAGCCGUGCGUCCUCCGAAACCUAACCAGGGUGCACUGCUUCUUGACACAAUGCCCACUUAAGCCAGCAGCACCAAUGUGUCAAAGGAAACACCCGUGUCAGCGUGCACUGCGCCCGGCAAGCCACAAGAGUUGCUAGUGCAUGAUGGGUAAAGGACAUCCCCACUCGGGAGGCCCUUUUAAUCUAUACUUAACUAAUGCACAAAAUGUCUAUUUUGCUCAAAUGUGUUUACAUCCCUGUUAGGGAGCAUUUCUCCUUUGUCAAGGUAAUAAUGCCAUUUUGUGGGGAAAAACUCAUUCUGAUUGGCUGAGCCCAGCUCCCCGUGAAAUCCAUAGAUUAGGGCCUAAUGAAUUUAUUUCAGUUGACUGAUUUCCUGAUAUGAACUGUAACUACGUCAAAUUGUUAAUUGUUGUAUUUACUCUUGUUCAGUAUAUAUUUCUUUUUAAUAAAAGUCCCUUGGCAUAUUU